This 464-nucleotide ribosomal RNA is filed under the name uncultured soil bacterium. Its description in RNAcentral is "bacterial SSU rRNA". It matches the Rfam family "Bacterial small subunit ribosomal RNA", at positions 26 to 462 of the family's 1533-position model. The record is from RNAcentral.
AGAUUGAACGCUGGCGGAAUGCUUUACACAUGCAAGUCGAACGGCAGCACGGGACUCAGGCAACUGAGCCCUGGUGGCGAGUGGCGAACGGGUGAGUAACAUAUCGGAACGUACCCAGUCGUGGGGGAUAACUCUCCGAAAGGAGAGCUAAUACCGCAUACGUCCUGAGGGAGAAAGCGGGGGACCUAAGGGUAACUGAGGGCCUCGCGCGAUUGGAGCGGCCGAUAUCGGAUUAGCUAGUUGGUGAGGUAAAGGCUCACCAAGGCGACGAUCCGUAGCGGGUACUGAGAGGACGACCGCCACACUGGAACUGAGACACGGUCCAGACUCCUACGGGAGGCAGCGAGUGGGGUAAUUUUGGACAAGUGGGGGACAACCCCGUGACUCCGAGCCAUUCCGCCGUAGAGUGAAAGACGGCCGUUCGGUUGUAAGCUCUUUCAGCAGGAACGAAACGGUGGUAGUUA